Molecule: ribosomal RNA, 458 nt
Filed under: Theileria annulata
Lineage: Eukaryota; Apicomplexa; Aconoidasida; Piroplasmida; Theileriidae
Description: SSU rRNA
Rfam family: Eukaryotic small subunit ribosomal RNA
Source: RNAcentral
CGGGGCUUAAAGUCUUGUAAUUAUAAUGAUGGGAAUUUAAACCUCUUCCAGAGUAUCAAUUGGAGGGCAAGUCUGGUGCCAGCAGCCGCGGUAAUUCCAGCUCCAAUAGCGUAUAUUAAAAUUGUUGCAGUUAAAAAGCUCGUAGUUGAAUUUCUGCUGCAUUGCUUGUGUCCCUCUGGGGUCUGUGCAUGUGGCUUUUUUCGGACGGAGUUUCUUUGUCUGAAUGUUUACUUUGAGAAAAUUAGAGUGCUCAAAGCAGGCUUUCGCCUUGAAUAGUUUAGCAUGGAAUAAUAAAGUAGGACUUUGGUUCUAUUUUGUUGGUUUUAGGUACCAAAGUAAUGGUUAAUAGGAACAGUUGGGGGCAUUCGUAUUUAACUGUCAGAGGUGAAAUUCUUAGAUUUGUUAAAGACGAACUACUGCGAAAGCAUUUGCCAAGGAUGUUUUCAUUAAUCAAGAAC